Molecule: ribosomal RNA, 465 nt
Filed under: uncultured bacterium
Lineage: Bacteria
Description: partial 16S ribosomal RNA
Rfam family: Bacterial small subunit ribosomal RNA
Source: RNAcentral
GACGAACGCUGGCGGCGUGCUUAACACAUGCAAGUCGAACGGUGAACCUGCUUCGGUGGGGGAUCAGUGGCGAACGGGUGAGUAACACGUGGGCAACCUGCCCUCAGCUCUGGGAUAACUCCAAGAAAUUGGGGCUAAUACUGGAUAUGACCGCUGACCGCAUGGUCUGGUGGUGGAAAGAUUUAUCGGCUGGGGAUGGGCCCGCGGCCUAUCAGCUUGUUGGUGGGGUAGUGGCCUACCAAGGCGACGACGGGUAGCCGGCCUGAGAGGGUGACCGGCCACACUGGGACUGAGACACGGCCCAGACUCCUACGGGAGGCAGCAGGGGGGAAUAUUGCGCAAUGGGCGAAAGCCUGACGCAGCGACGCCGCGUGGGGGAUGACGGCCUUCGGGUUGUAAACCUCUUUCAGCAGGGACGAAGCGAAAGUGACGGUACCUGCAGAAGAAGCACCGGCCAGCUACGUG